AUCUACAGCCUUACAACCCUGAACGCUCCCAAUCUUGUCUGACCUCAGAAGCUAAGCAGGGUCUGGUCUGGUUAGUACUUGAAGGGGAGAAAACAAAAAAUAUCAGACGUAUUUU
Piliocolobus tephrosceles (Ugandan red Colobus) is the source of this 115-nucleotide ribosomal RNA. NCBI's taxonomy places the organism in Eukaryota, Metazoa, Chordata, Mammalia, Primates, Cercopithecidae. The record is from Ensembl.